GUUUCUCAUUCUCACUUUCUAGUGUAGGCUGGAAUCCCCACUAGAAGCUGAAACUGUGGCAACCUUGGAUUUCAGUAUUCCAAGCAGAAUCUUCACGUUUCUAAGGCACAAGAUACCUCAUUGAACCAGAAGAAACAAAAUCUAGCCCCAUCCAUAAGCAAACAGGAGUCUUGAGGGAGCCCUCCCUCUUCCCCCAGAUCUAACUGCUCAGCUAAUUUCUGGACAACAGCUUCGUACUUUCUCACAGCCUCAAUGAACCAAGCUUGAAGGAAUUCAAAAGGCAAUUUAGCUUAAAUAUAAAAAUAAAUUUUAUUUUGUUAAAAAAA
Molecule: long non-coding RNA, 326 nt
Organism: Antechinus flavipes (yellow-footed antechinus)
Lineage: Eukaryota; Metazoa; Chordata; Mammalia; Dasyuromorphia; Dasyuridae
Exons: 2
Source: RefSeq, a predicted model, not a curated record